UACCAGCACCCCGAGUGGUCGGGACGUUUAUUGGGCCUAAAGCAUCCGUAGCCGGUUCUACAAGUCUUCCGUUAAAUCCAGCUGCUUAACAGAUGGGCUGCGGAAGAUACUAUGGAGCUAGGAGGCGGGAGAGGCAAGCGGUACUCGAUGGGUAGGGGUAAAAUCCGUUGAUCCAUUGAAGACCACCAGUGGCGAAGGCGGCUUGCCAGAACGCGCUCGACGGUGAGGGAUGAAAGCUGGGGGAG
Molecule: ribosomal RNA, 245 nt
Filed under: uncultured bacterium
Lineage: Bacteria
Description: partial 16S ribosomal RNA
Rfam family: Archaeal small subunit ribosomal RNA
Source: RNAcentral